ACGGCCAGGGGCCAUUGUGCUCACCGUAUACAUCUUUUAGUAGGCAGGAUCAUGCUUAGUUUAGAGGUGAAUAUGGUGAACACAAUCAGGCAUGAAGACUUUUUUUAGAUGUGUAUUGAUGUCAAGUAAUAAGACAGGGCAGUAUAUAUAAGUUUAUGAUCCAACCAAUAAUUGUCUAUGACAUCAACAAGAUCAAUAUCGUGUGAUUGCUAAGAGUCCCUGCAAUAAAAAAUUCAUCGAAAAAAGUCAUUAAUAAGCAAGAUAUUGCACGUCCUACUUUUUCAGUUUUGACCCCCUGGUGGCCAAAUCAAGAAUCAGAUGAGGCCAAAAUUCGGUGUCAGAGAUUAUCUGAUGUAGGGGGUUACAUGUACCAACUUUCAAGUUCAUAGCUUAAGCAGUUAAGAAACGUGCCAUAGUUACACUCUAAUGGCCAAUUUACGCCAUUUGACCUCUGUGACCUAGAAAAGGAGGUCAAAUCCAAAAAUCGUAGGACAUGUGGUGUAUCCUUGCUAGAAGUCCCUGCCAUAAAAAUUUUAUCGAAAACAAUUCACUCAAAUAAGCAAGAUAUUGCACUUCUUCCUUUUUCCAUUAUGGCCCCCUGGUGGCCGAAUAAAGAAUCAGAUCAGGCCAAAAUUCGGCAUCAAAGGUUAUCUGAUGUAGGGGGUUAUAUGCACCAAGUUUCAAGUUCAUAGCUUUACUGGUUAAGAAACGUGCCAUAGUUUACACUCCAACGGCCAAUUUAUGCCAUAUGACCUCUGUGACCUUGAAAAGUAGGUCAAAUUGAAAACCCGUAAGACAUGUGAUGUAUUCUUCCUAAGAGUACCUACCAUAAACAUUUUAUCGAAAACAAGUCACUUAUAAGCGAGAUAUCACACUUUUUAGAUAUCCACUUUUGGCCCCCUGGUGGCAAAGUUGAGAAUCAGAUCAAACUGAAAUUCAGCACCAGAGGCUAUGUGAUAUAGGGGGUUAUAUGUACCAAGUUUCAAGUUCAUAGCUUUAGUGGUUAAGAAACGUGCCAUAGUUUACACUCUAAUGGCCAAUUUCGCCAUAUGACCUCUGUGAACUUGAAAAGUAGGUCAAAUUAAAAACCCGUAUGAUAUAAGAUGUAUAUUUGCUAUGAGUACCUACAACACAAGUUUCAUCGAAAACAAGUCACUAAUAAGCGAGAUAUCACACUUUUUAGAUAUCGACAUUUGGCCCCCUGGUGGCCAAGUUGAGAAUCAGAUCGGACCGAAAUUCAGUGUCAGAGGUCACCUGACCUAGGGGGUGCUGUGUACAAAGUUUUUAAGUUCAUAGCCCUAGCGGUUAAGAAACGUGCCACUGUUUUUUAAAUAGGAUACGACGACGGACGACGGACGACGACGGACGACGGACGACGACGACGGACGACGGACACUGCGGUAUUACAUAAGACUCCCCUACAGUGAGCCAAAAAUCAAGAAAAUGUAAGAUACAAGUCAGAAAAGACAAAAGGGAAAAGAUAAAAAAUAAUAAAAUAAAAAAAUAUUUUUGGCCGUCCCUGACCGGGGUUUGAACUCACGACCUUUGGAUUGCCACAACACGAAAAACACAAAACAUGCAAUUUCGGCCAUAUCUGUGUCUGCGUUGUGACCUCUGUGACCUCGACAAGUAGGUCAAAUUAUAAACCCAUAUGAUAUAUGAUGUAUCCUUGCUAUGAGUACCUACCACAAAAGUUUUAUCGAAAACAAGUCAUCAAUAAGCGAGAUAUCACACUUUUUAGAUAUCCACAUUCGACCCCCUGGUGGCCAAAUUGAGAAUCAGAUCGGACCGAUAUUCAGCACAGGAGGUUAUCUGAUAUAGGGGGUUAUAUGUACCAAGUUUCAAGUUCAUAGCUGUGGCGGUUGAGAAACGUGCCAUAGUUACGCUGAAACAGCCAAUUUAUGCCAUUUGACCUCUGCAACCAUGAAAAGUAGGUCAAAUUAAAAAAUUGUACGAUAUAUGAUGUAUCCUUGCUAUGAGUACCCACCACGAAAGUUUUAUUGAAAACAAGUUAUUGAUAAGCGAAUUAUCACACUUUUUAGGUAUCCACAUUCGGCCCCCUGGUGGCCAAGUUGAGAAUCAGAUCAGACUGAAAUUCAGCACCAGAGGUUAUCUGGUAUAGGGGGUUAUAUGUAUUAAAUUUCAAGUUCAUAGCUGUGGAGGUUGAAAAACGUGCCAUAGUUACACUGAAACAGCCAAUUUAUGCCAUUUGACCUCUGUGACCUUGAAAAGUAGGUCAAAUUAAAAACCCGUAUGAUAUAUGAUGUAUCCUUGCUAUGAGUACCUACCACAAAAAUUUUAUUCCAAACAAGUCAUUAAUAAGCGAGAUAUCACACUUUUUAGAUAUCUACAUUCGGCCCCCUGGUGGCCAAAUUAAGAAUCAGAUCGGACCGAAAUUUAGUGUCACAGGUCAUCUGACCAAGGGAGUCCUGUGUACAAAGUUACAAGUUCAUAGGCUUAGCGGUUAAGAAACGUGCCACUGUUUUUGAAACAGGAUACGACGACGACGACGGACGACGACAGACGACGACGGACGACGGACACUGCGGUAUUGUAAAGACUCCCCUACGGUGAGCCAAAAACCCUGUGUCAAACCCAUGUUUAAAUUAGCCCCAUCGAGAUUGAUGGGGCUUAUAGACACGGGGUUUUCACACACAUGUCUAUUUAAGCACGGCAAUUCAAAGGUGGAAGCGCAAAAAACACGGGGAUUUACUAGGUGGAAGCGCAACUAUUAAUAACUGAACCACACAAAAACAAGUCCCCGAAUUGUGCAUAUAAUUCACCUGAAGACCACCAAUUUGACCCCCCUAGCUCAUGCCUAUAGUCCCCCUUUAAAGGGGUGCGCCGUUUGUAUUUAAUUGUGGGUCAGGAAUAUGCAAAUGCAGCUCUAUACACAGUGCUGCAGUGCAGUGCACUUAUCAUGCAUCUAACUUUGCUAAAACAUGGUGUUUAAAGUGUUUUUAGCUCAGCUGAAAAGCUGAGCUAUUCAUAUGAGUAAAUGGUAGAAUGAGUGUCCGUCUGUCUGUCUGUCUGUCUGUCUGUCUGUCUGUCUGUCUGUCUGUCUGUCUGUCUGUCCGUUAAACAGGCACGUUUCAAAACUAUGGCGGAUAGGCGAUAGAUUUUCCCUCUGAGGCGUUGAGACCCUUCAGGACUCCUGAAUAGACCAAAUGUGGGUCCGGCAGGAUGAGCGGUUUGGCAACUAGGUGGCACCAAGCGAAAUUUUCCAAAAACUUUUCCAGCAGCUGAUUUCUCAGUUGGGGAUCAUGAAUCAAAUCUAAUUUUAUAGAGCAAAGCUUUCUCUUUCAUUAUCAAUAGGCGUAGUUCAUGAAUUUCUCACCAGGUGGUGUUACUGGCGCAAUUUAGUGAGCACCCCCCAAGAAGAGCAUUUUAAAUUUCGCGCGAGUUAUCCCACGUCCAAUCACACAUGCAGCGAACGUCACGUCUCGAGUCUGCGCAGUUCAGACGUAAGGAGACCAUGCUAUGGAAUAGAUCGCGUUCUGUCAAUUCAGAGGACAGGAAUGAUCUGCAGCUGCAUUUGAACAUAUUUGGUGACUACAUCUCAAAGAUGACCAAGAGAGAGGAUCGAGCUAUGACUUUGCACAUCCCAUCGACUUCGGUGUUCACCAGUGCAAUCAUCAGAAGAGCCAGGCAAUUCUAGUAUUCAAGUAUUUCAUUCUGUAAUACUUACCUCAAAAUUUACUAAAUAAAGAAAACCGCAUGUGGCAGUUGGUUAAAAAAAUCAAGUCUAUCUGUUUAAAGUUUUUACUUGCUAUCAUUAUUAUCAACAUUUCAAUGGUGGCAUUCUGCUAAGGUUUGUUAAGAGUUUCACUUGACUUAAGCAGGGUGUACACUAGUAAAAUAUUAGCAACAUUUUACCAACAUUUUACCAACAUUUUACCAACAUUUUACCAACAUUUUACCAACAUUUUACCAACAUUUUACCAACAUUUUACCAACAUUUUUACAACAAUUUUGCAACAAGCCCUUCAAGGCCCUGUGUUCACUAGCAACAAAAUUGCAACAAAUUAGCAACAUUUUUACAACAUGUUGGUAAAUUGUUGCAAACUUUUUAGUGGGAACAAAGGGAAAAAGGUAUUUUGGAGGGAAAAUGGAUGAUUCCAAGGAGAGAAGAUGUGUUUUGAGUGCUUCUGCAGCAAUUUUAGCUGUCAUUGUUGAGAGACGGAAGAGGCGGCGAAAUAACCCAAGAGAAUAUGGACCAGGCCCUGGAUCAAAAUGAGGGUGGAUGAUGGGGCAUACCACUGCCUGUUAAGGCCGCGUAUCCAUAGGGUAUGCCCUUGUGUAGUGUGGCGUUAUGGCGUAACAGCCUUGUGACCUGGCACUAUGCCCUGAGUCUCCAUUGGAUAUUCCUUUUUGGUCAUGUAGGCCUUUGUAGUCCUCAUUUCGCAGCGGUCAAUCGCGUUUAUCCGCACGCUGUCAUUAUUUCAGAAGACAAUUUCUUAUGAAUAUUGAAAAUGAAAAUACAAGUAACUUGUAUUUUCACUUGCAACAUCAAAUUGACAUGUACAUGUAUAUAAAACCUGACUUUUAAGCAACAAAUUACAGGUUCGUGCUUGUUAUGAUAAUCAUCAGUUUCGGGAUCCCAGAGUAGUUCCCGUUGAUGAACCUCUUGAAUUAAUUUCGCCUCAGACAUUGCUUCCGUGUUGUUCACUCGCAAAAGAAUGGACAUGUUCAAUCCCAAUAUGGGCCUAUAUUCCCAAUCCACAGUGCAUAUAUGCCCGCAAUGUGACACGGCAUAACCUAUGGGAACGAUCAAUAACACCAACGAAGGUUCAUUGUCCGUGUGGCGCGCCAGGCGGUAAAAAGGGAAUGUUGUGCAGGGCACGGAACAGCCUAUGGAUACGCAGCCUAAAGGAGUUGCGGCUGACUGACAAGCCGUCACACAAAAACUUCUAGAAAAGGUUUCAUCACCCUACGAAGCAAGACACUCACUUGAGAGUUGCUAUACCUGCUUCUUGUUCAAGUCACAUGAACUCCGGUAGAUCACAUGACGCAAAUCCUAUUUCUGAUUGGCUGAAGAGUUUGCAACAUUUUUACAACAUGCAACAAAGAAUUGCAUUGCAUUUAAUUUGCAACAAUUUUACAACAUGUUGUAAGACGCGUUUUGCUCUGUACACACUGCGCAACAUUUUUGCAACAUUUGUUGCAACUGGAAAUGUAAAAAUGUUGCUAAUAUUUUACUAGUGUACACAGGCCUUUAGGCAAUAAUAGAGUUGGGUAGAGCAUUUUGUUAAUGUUACCCUUUUAGUUAGGGAAACUGGUGCCUUCUGCAUUAGGUGGACCCCACUUACUCAUCUGUCAGACCGGCCUCACACGUCGGCAGUAGGGUUUAAGGUCCAGUCUGCGAGAUUUACCCAUUUCUACCCAGCCAAAAGCGGGUGAUUGGGUUAGUCUCUUGUGUCUUGUUUCUUGUGUCCCGGUGCUGAAAGGAUCCCUCCACAAGGGCAGACUACAUCCGGUGGCACUGAAGUAUGGAAGAAAGACAGAAGACGACCAAUUUGCGAAAAGGAUCAUCAUCAUCAUCAUCAUGGUAACAGCUGAGGAUGAAUCAUGUUGCUGUGUGUAGAAUUGAUGGUCCAAUAUAGGUUAGGUUAUCUGUUUGCGCACACAUUGCAAGGGUGGAGCUUGCUUGAAGUAGAUUGCGCCAGUCUACCGUAAUUCACUGUUACACAUCCAGAAGCUAAUAUCCUUAGGCUUUGAGUCCUUAGUUUAGUAGAGUUUGACGAGUAAUGUAAUAUAUACGAACAACGCAGCAACAACUCAGCUGAGCGCCAGGCCCUUGGGCCUCUUGUUCAAUCUGUCUACACAAUCGCAGAGUAAAAUUUAUGUUCAGUACGUAUCUGAAAUUUUCAAAUUCAAUCACAAAUUACAAAUUCUUAACGAACGACAUAGGUCUUUAGUGGUUUCGAGAGUGUAGUGUAACUUAUUCAAUUACCAGAUUGCCUUUAUCGUGAGAUGCCAAAUGUUUUGUACUUAUCUUAUGAAAAUUGCCUCCCUUGCGAACAAAAUGACUAGGCUUUGGCUUUUGAUUAUUCUUCCUGGAGCCAGAAAUUGCUGUGUCAGUGACCAGAAGACUGGCACAUUUACUGUCGAGGCUCGGACAAACUGUCAGCUUGUUAAUUUCCGAGAAAUUGUCAUGUCUAAAGCGUCUGUUUUGUGUCAAAAAUGACGCACCUCCCAUUUUAUCAAUAGUCUCUCAUAAGUGUAGGUUUGUCCUAGUCAUUCAUAUUUGCAGGGGUCUGGCAGUUUGUAAAUUGUUUUGAGAGCAUGAUGGUACAAAAUAAACUUUUUACAUGAAUAGAAA
This is a long non-coding RNA of Lineus longissimus, 6322 nucleotides long. RefSeq lists it as uncharacterized. Lineage: Eukaryota; Metazoa; Nemertea; Pilidiophora; Heteronemertea; Lineidae. The record is from RefSeq and is a predicted model, not a curated record. The transcript is spliced from 2 exons.